AAUCCAUGAUGUGGGCAAUUUUUUAAGUAUUCUUUAAAGCGUUCCCAAGCAUCAUGCAUGGAAACUUUCUCAAGUCUUUGUUGGAAUCCUUAUAUCUUCUUUCUUAAAAU
Arabis alpina (gray rockcress) is the source of this 110-nucleotide small nucleolar RNA. It matches the Rfam family "Plant small nucleolar RNA R71". From Rfam's summary of the family: R71 is a member of the C/D box family of snoRNAs containing the C (UGAUGA) and D (CUGA) box motifs. Lineage: Eukaryota; Viridiplantae; Streptophyta; Magnoliopsida; Brassicales; Brassicaceae. The record is from Rfam.